AAUCAACGCUGGCGGCGCGCUUAACACAUGCAAGUCGAACGAGAACAGGUCUUCGGACCUGGGAAAGUGGCGGACGGGUGAGUAACACGUGGGUUACCUGCCCUCGAGUGGGGAAUAACUCCGGGAAACUGGAGCUAAUACCGCAUACGACCCUUCGGGGUGAAAGGCUUCGGUCGCUCGAGGAUGGGCCCGCGGUCGAUUAGCUAGUUGGUAGGGUAACGGCCUACCAAGGCACCGAUCGAUAGCCGGCCUGAGAGGGCACACGGCCACACUGGCACUGAGACACGGGCCAGACUCCUACGGGAGGCAGCAGUGGGGAAUCUAGGACAAUGGGGGAAACCCUGAUCCAGCGACGCCGCGUGACCGAUGAAGGCCCUCGGGUCGUAAAAGGUCUUUCGACGGGGAAAAAGUUAUGAUGGUACCCGUAUAAGAAGGAGCGGCUAACUACGUGCCAGCAGCCGCGGUAAUACGUAGGCUCCAAGCGUUGUUCGGAAUUACUGGGCGUAAAGCGAGUGUAGGCGGUCCAUCAAGUUGGUUGUGAAAUCUCCUGGCUCAACUGGGAGGGUGCGACCAAAACUGAUGGACUAGAGUCUGGGAGAGGAGAGUGGAAUUCCUGGUGUAGCGGUGAAAUGCGUAGAUAUCAGGAGGAACACCGGUGGUGAAGACGGCUCUCUGGACCGGUACUGACGCUGAGACUCGAAAGCGUGGGGAGCAAACAGGAUUAGAUACCCUGGUAGU
This 738-nucleotide ribosomal RNA is filed under the name uncultured bacterium. RNAcentral describes it as "bacterial SSU rRNA". It matches the Rfam family "Bacterial small subunit ribosomal RNA", at positions 28 to 794 of the family's 1533-position model. The record is from RNAcentral.